This 527-nucleotide ribosomal RNA is filed under the name Enterococcus faecium. RNAcentral describes it as "bacterial SSU rRNA". It matches the Rfam family "Bacterial small subunit ribosomal RNA", at positions 416 to 932 of the family's 1533-position model. Lineage: Bacteria; Bacillati; Bacillota; Bacilli; Lactobacillales; Enterococcaceae. The record is from RNAcentral. RNAcentral also lists the same sequence under 1 other name.
UUUCGGAUCGUAAAACUCUGUUGUUAGAGAAGAACAAGGAUGAGAGUAACUGUUCAUCCCUUGACGGUAUCUAACCAGAAAGCCACGGCUAACUACGUGCCAGCAGCCGCGGUAAUACGUAGGUGGCAAGCGUUGUCCGGAUUUAUUUGGGCGUAAAGCGAGCGCAGGCGGUUUCCUUAAGUCUGAUGUGAAAGCCCCCGGCUCAACCGGGGAGGGUCAUUGGAAACUGGGAGACUUGAGUGCAGAAGAGGAGAGUGGAAUUCCAUGUGUAGCGGUGAAAUGCGUAGAUAUAUGGAGGAACACCAGUGGCGAAGGCGGCUCUCUGGUCUGUAACUGACGCUGAGGCUCGAAAGCGUGGGGAGCAAACAGGAUUAGAUACCCUGGUAGUCCACGCCGUAAACGAUGAGUGCUAAGUGUUGGAGGGUUUCCGCCCUUCAGUGCUGCAGCUAACGCAUUAAGCACUCCGCCUGGGGAGUACGACCGCAAGGUUGAAACUCAAAGGAAUUGACGGGGGCCCGCACAAGCGG